Molecule: long non-coding RNA, 218 nt
Filed under: Dermacentor andersoni
Lineage: Eukaryota; Metazoa; Arthropoda; Arachnida; Ixodida; Ixodidae
Description: uncharacterized LOC126540218
Source: RNAcentral
GCUUGCCGACAGGUAAACCGCCGCUGUACUUAGAUGAGUUGAGAUUUACACAUCAAUGCCAGCUCACAAAGCAUCUAAUACGGCAAUCAGCCAGCCACCUCCGCAGAUGGAGAAUUCUGCAGUUUCCAAUCAUACUGUUUCUGUUGUCCUUGGCAGAGAUGUUGAUUGUACACAGAGGGAAUAUAUUGUAGGACAAUAAAAAUAACUUGUCAUGACAA